GCCGGGCGUGGUGGCUCAUGCCUGUAAUCCCAGUACUUUGGGAGGCUGAGGCAGGUGGAUCACCUGAGGUCAGGAGUUCAAGACCAGCCUGGCCAACAUGGUGAAACCCCGUCUCUA
Molecule: unclassified non-coding RNA, 117 nt
Organism: Macaca fascicularis (crab-eating macaque)
Lineage: Eukaryota; Metazoa; Chordata; Mammalia; Primates; Cercopithecidae
Rfam family: Metazoan signal recognition particle RNA
About the family: The signal recognition particle (SRP) is a universally conserved ribonucleoprotein. It is involved in the co-translational targeting of proteins to membranes. The eukaryotic SRP consists of a 300-nucleotide 7S RNA and six proteins: SRPs 72, 68, 54, 19, 14, and 9.
Source: Ensembl